UAAGGAAUAUUGGUCAAUGGACGCAGGUCUGAACCAGCCAUGCCGCGUGGAGGAUGAAGGUCCUCUGGAUUGUAAACUUCUUCUAUCUGGGACGAAACACUUCUUUUCUAAGAGGCCUGACGGUACCAGAUGAAUAAGCACCGGCUAACUCCGUGCCAGCAGCCGCGGUAAUACGGAGGGUGCAAGCGUUAUCCGGAUUCACUGGGUUUAAAGGGUGCGUAGGUGGGUAUGUAAGUCAGUGGUGAAAUCCCCGAGCUUAACUUGGGAACUGCCAUUGAUA
This 280-nucleotide ribosomal RNA is filed under the name uncultured bacterium. RNAcentral describes it as "partial 16S ribosomal RNA". It matches the Rfam family "Bacterial small subunit ribosomal RNA", at positions 355 to 632 of the family's 1533-position model. The record is from RNAcentral.